Molecule: long non-coding RNA, 818 nt
Organism: Quercus robur (English oak)
Lineage: Eukaryota; Viridiplantae; Streptophyta; Magnoliopsida; Fagales; Fagaceae
Exons: 3
Source: RefSeq, a predicted model, not a curated record
AAUAAAGUAUUUUUGGCCUUGGAAAUCCGUGAAGCACUAAAAGGCUUUAGAAAACAACUCAGAGAAAAGAAGAAAUAAGUUUCCUACUCCUAAUACCUUCCCAGAACAUAGAUUUGAGACAAGAAAUCGUCAAGCUCGUAAGUUACAUUCCUAAAAAUUAAAAAAAAAUUUGGGGGGGCCAUAACGUGGCUCCGCCACUGUGAGUAUGAGAGAGAGAGAGAGAGAGAGAGAGAGAGAUUAGAGCAGAGAUGAGAUAGGGAAAAGGAGAGAGAACUGAAAUACCUUGUUGUUGCCUGAGGUUGGGGGCGGCGCCACUGCGACAUAUUGAAGGCUGAGGUUCUUAUUUCCCGAUCUCACUUUUGCCGUCGCCGAUCUCGCAAUGUCCGAUCUGGGCCAAGUCAAUCUCCAAUCUCGCUGUCGCAGAGCUGCUCUGGGUGUUCAUUGUUGCUGUUGCUGCCUUGCUAAGUCGCUGCUGCUGCUGAGAAGUGAGGACAUGAGGUUCUUAUUAGGUGAGGGUGUUCCUGGGAACACCCUGACAUGAACGUGGCAUUGCCAUUGGCUUGGAUGUAGGAGGCAAGCCCUGUGCUUCCUAUUCCCUGCAUGCAUGGAUAUAAAGAGUUGCAAUUUGAUGUCUAUGAAAUCCAUAGUAGAAGUUUUUAUCAAACCUACCAUCCAAAGUAUUAUAGGUAUGUAUUUCUCUUCUUUGUUUUUGUGUUUUUUUCCAGCAAUGGUGGACAAGUACGUAUCUCAUGCAAGCAUACAUGAAUUUAAAUUACCUUUCAAUAUUUUGAAUUCUUUAUUAUUUGCUAGAUGUGAUU